UGGUUUCAGAGCGAUGCCUUGAUUUAACCGU
RNAcentral lists this non-coding RNA (31 nucleotides) under Rattus norvegicus (Norway rat). The record is from RNAcentral. Lineage: Eukaryota; Metazoa; Chordata; Mammalia; Rodentia; Muridae.